This 478-nucleotide ribosomal RNA is filed under the name uncultured bacterium. Its description in RNAcentral is "partial 16S ribosomal RNA". It matches the Rfam family "Bacterial small subunit ribosomal RNA", at positions 28 to 523 of the family's 1533-position model. The record is from RNAcentral.
GACGAACGCUGGCGGCGUGCUUAACACAUGCAAGUCGAGCGAUGAAGCACCUUCGGGUGUGAAUUAGCGGCGAACGGGUGAGGAACACGUGAGAAAUCUGCCUUCAACUCUGGGAUAACUCCGUGAAAACGGGGCUAAUACCGGAUAUGAAACCUGCGGGCAUCCGCGGGUUUGGAAAGUUUUUCGGUUGAAGAUGAUCUCGCGGCCUAUCAGCUUGUUGGUGAGGUAAUGGCUCACCAAGGCGACGACGGGUAGCCGGCCUGAGAGGGCGACCGGCAACACUAGGACGGAGACACGGCCCAGACUCCGGCGGGAGGGAGCAGUGGGGAAUAUUGGGCAAUGGAGGAAACUCUGACCCAGCGACGCCGCGUGCGGGAUGAAGGCCUUCGGGUUGUAAACCGCUUUCAGCAGGGAAGAAGCGAAAGUGACGGUACCUGCAGAAGAAGCACCGGCUAACUAUGUGCAGCCGCCGCCGUAA